UAAUGUUUCCACAAAUGCUACUAAUACUGAUAACAUUACACAAUCACUUAUAUAUAUAAAUAAUCAACUCGAAUCAGGUGAGCUUCAUAAUCCGGUGGGUUACACCUCUCGUGUAGAGAAUUAUACUAAUCGUCUCAAUCAUAACAACCGUAAUCACAAUAAUACUGGCACAGGUGCUGGCACGGGCACUGAUACUGCCACUACCACUACCACUGCUACUAGUAAUGAUAGCACAAAUGACACUGUAGAAAGUUCUAAUACAAACAAUGCAAACAGCAGACUCACAACAGAAAAUAACAUUGUAGUAAAUCCAACACUUUUUGCCGAAAUAUUGAUAAAUAGAAAUCCAAACAAUACAUUAAAUAUGGAGAUAAUAAAUGUAACUAAUGCCGAUAUACGUAAUCAACUUUUAAAUUUGAAUUUCAGACAAAUAACUCCAAACGCUUUUUCUAAUUUAAUUACAAAUUUUCUUAACGACCAAAAUACAGGCACAGGCACAGGAACAGGAACAGGCACCGGUACUAAUAGUACUGCUGUUCAGGACAACGUUCUUACCGCUACUGAUCCUAAUUCUACAACUAAUCCUAAUGCUACUAUUAAUAAUACUGUUAGGACGGCACUACAAACAAACAUUAAUACCAUACGUCGUAACGUUACUAUGAAUCACAUGUAUUUUCACGACGAUCUUCAGGAGUUUUUAUAUAUUUCUCAUGAUGAAUAUUCACCAAGUGAAGAUUUUAAUAUAUUCCAAUCAGAAAAUAUUAACACCACUUCUACCACAACAGAUGUUAAUACAAACACACAUGCUACUCCUAACAACAAUAAUUUUACUAACACUAACGAUAUGAAUCAUGGCCCUAAUUCUACAACAGAAGUAACGAUAAUAGAAGACCACGAUCGAAUAGAUACUACUACUAAUUUAACUCAACAAAAAUCUGCUUUUGUUCCAAUUUCUAAUUUGAAUAACAUAUUUUUAAAUAUUAAAAACAAUCAUAACGAUGCUAAUAUAGGUGGUGCAAUUGAUUUUUUUUUAAAAGUAAUAAAACUGUUAAGUCUUAUAAUGGAUUUGAAUCAUCCUUUUAAAGAAAUCAAUAGUUUCUUUUUUUCAAAUGCGAAAACGUUAGAUUUUACUUCUUAUGUUGCAGGUGAACAAAACGUAGGUUCUAAUAAUAUGAGUGAUGAGGAUAGCUCAAGUAAUAGCAAUUCUGACGAAGAUACAAAUGAUGAAUAUGUUUAUAAUGGAUCAUUAGGGGAAUAUAAUAAUAGAAAUAUUUUAAACAACAACGAAAUGGGAUUACAUUCAGUUGAUUUAAAAACAGAAAAAAAAUGAUAUUUUAGUAAGUACUAGCACUAUUGUUGAUGGUGUUAACGUAUCAUGUAAAACAACAAACGUGGCUAGUACAACAAACGUGGCUAAUACAACAAACGUGGCUAGUACAACAA
Molecule: long non-coding RNA, 1443 nt
Organism: Piliocolobus tephrosceles (Ugandan red Colobus)
Lineage: Eukaryota; Metazoa; Chordata; Mammalia; Primates; Cercopithecidae
Source: Ensembl